Molecule: ribosomal RNA, 448 nt
Filed under: Escherichia coli
Lineage: Bacteria; Pseudomonadati; Pseudomonadota; Gammaproteobacteria; Enterobacterales; Enterobacteriaceae
Description: partial 23S ribosomal RNA
Rfam family: Bacterial large subunit ribosomal RNA
Source: RNAcentral
GAAUGCUGACAUAAGUAACGAUAAAGCGGGUGAAAAGCCCGCUCGCCGGAAGACCAAGGGUUCCUGUCCAACGUUAAUCGGGGCAGGGUGAGUCGACCCCUAAGGCGAGGCCGAAAGGCGUAGUCGAUGGGAAACAGGUUAAUAUUCCUGUACUUGGUGUUACUGCGAAGGGGGGACGGAGAAGGCUAUGUUGGCCGGGCGACGGUUGUCCCGGUUUAAGCGUGUAGGCUGGUUUUCCAGGCAAAUCCGGAAAAUCAAGGCUGAGGCGUGAUGACGAGGCACUACGGUGCUGAAGCGACAAAUGCCCUGCUUCCAGGAAAAGCCUCUAAGCAUCAGGUAACAUCAAAUCGUACCCCAAACCGACACAGGUGGUCAGGUAGAGAAUACCAAGGCGCUUGAGAGAACUCGGGUGAAGGAACUAGGCAAAAUGGUGCCGUAACUUCGGGAG